GCUCGGGUCGAUGUAGGAGGACGAGGGGAGGAGCUCGCGAGGCCCGACACCGGUAAUGGAGCGGAGGCGGCUGGAUCUGGCGAUUCUGGAGGGGCUGGCGACGAGCGGCUCCAUGGGCGGCGACCUGCGGGGUUCAAGCGGCGGCUGAAGGUAUGAGCGAUCUGGUUUCCUCUUUUGUUGUUCUAUACGAGGAUGAUCCAGAUGCCUUUUGGUGUUUUGAGAUGCUACUGAGAAGGAUGCGUGAAAAUUUCCACCUCGAGGGACCGACAGGAGUUAUGAAGCGGUUGGAAGCAUUGUGGAAGAUCAUGGAAUUGACAUAUACGGAACUAAUAAACUGGUAAGGAUCAAACAGGCA
Triticum dicoccoides is the source of this 355-nucleotide long non-coding RNA. RefSeq lists it as uncharacterized. The record is from RefSeq and is a predicted model, not a curated record. Lineage: Eukaryota; Viridiplantae; Streptophyta; Magnoliopsida; Poales; Poaceae. The transcript is spliced from 3 exons.